GACGAACGCUGGCGGCGUGCUUAACACAUGCAAGUCGAACGGAAAGGCCCAGCUUGCUGUGUUCUCGAGUUGCGAACGGGUGAGUAACACGUGGGUGAUCUGCCCCUCACUUCGGGAUAGGCUUGUUAAACUGGGUCUAAUACCGGAUAGGACAAUCGUUUAGUGUCGUGUUUGGAAAGUUUUUUCGGUUAUGGAUGAGCCCGCGGGCUAUCAGCUUGUUGGGGGGGUAAUGGCCUACCAAGGCGGCGACGGGUAGCCGGCCUGAGAGGGUGGACGGCCACAUUGGGCCUGAGAUACGGCCCAGAAUCGUACGGGAGGCAGCAGUGGGGAAUAUUGCACAAUGGGCGCAAGCCUGAUGCAGAGACGCCGCGUGGGGGAUGACGGCCUUCGGGUUGUAAACAUCUUUCGACAGGGACGAAGAUUUGGUGACGGUACCUGUAUAAGAAGCACCGGCUAACUACGUG
Molecule: ribosomal RNA, 464 nt
Filed under: uncultured bacterium
Lineage: Bacteria
Description: partial 16S ribosomal RNA
Rfam family: Bacterial small subunit ribosomal RNA
Source: RNAcentral